Molecule: long non-coding RNA, 434 nt
Filed under: Gorilla gorilla gorilla (western lowland gorilla)
Lineage: Eukaryota; Metazoa; Chordata; Mammalia; Primates; Hominidae
Description: lncRNA (ENSGGOG00000044388.1)
Source: RNAcentral
CAUUUUGCAGUAGUGGGGGCUCACCCCCACCGGAGAAGUAGUACAGUCUGGCAGGGUGCCAAACAUCCCCACAGGCAUGAAGGUUCUUAGAGUCAUGCUAUACUGAAAAGACACUUGAUCAAGAGAACUCUGGGAGAAGCAGAAAACCCUGUGCCAGGGACAGGAAAGAUAGGAGGCUGAAGUGUGAUUGUUUCAGACCAAUGCCUCAGAGAAAUAUGGAGUUCCUUUUAUUUGGUCUGGACAUAUAGGACUCAUUGAAGGAAAAAGUCCCAGACAAAGAGUGAGAGGAAGAGCAAAGAUCAUUUGAGAAACUGAGUAUGGGAACAAGGUUAAAAUGAUGUCUGCUUUUAAUUUUAAAAUUCUUCCAAGGUGGUAAAAUAUGCAUUCAGGCAGCUCCAAGUCUGAAAAACACCUAAUGCACCUUGACAUUCAAC